This 670-nucleotide ribosomal RNA is filed under the name uncultured Staphylococcus sp. Its description in RNAcentral is "bacterial SSU rRNA". It matches the Rfam family "Bacterial small subunit ribosomal RNA", at positions 64 to 720 of the family's 1533-position model. Lineage: Bacteria; Bacillati; Bacillota; Bacilli; Caryophanales; Staphylococcaceae. The record is from RNAcentral.
GAACGGACGAGAAGCUUGCUUCUCUGAUGUUAGCGGCGGACGGGUGAGUAAUACGUGGAUAACCUACCUAUAAGACUGGGAUAACUUCGGGAAACCGGAGCUAAUACCGGAUAAUAUUUUGAACCGCAUGGUUCAAAAGUGAAAGACGGUCUUGCUGUCACUUAUAGAUGGAUCCGCGCUGCAUUAGCUAGUUGGUAAGGUAACGGCUUACCAAGGCAACGAUGCAUAGCCGACCUGAGAGGGUGAUCGGCCACACUGGAACUGAGACACGGUCCAGACUCCUACGGGAGGCAGCAGUAGGGAAUCUUCCGCAAUGGGCGAAAGCCUGACGGAGCAACGCCGCGUGAGUGAUGAAGGUCUUCGGAUCGUAAAACUCUGUUAUUAGGGAAGAACAUAUGUGUAAGUAACUGUGCACAUCUUGACGGUACCUAAUCAGAAAGCCACGGCUAACUACGUGCCAGCAGCCGCGGUAAUACGUAGGUGGCAAGCGUUAUCCGGAAUUAUUGGGCGUAAAGCGCGCGUAGGCGGUUUUUUAAGUCUGAUGUGAAAGCCCACGGCUCAACCGUGGAGGGUCAUUGGAAACUGGAAAACUUGAGUGCAGAAGAGGAAAGUGGAAUUCCAUGUGUAGCGGUGAAAUGCGCAGAGAUAUGGAGGAACACCAGUGGCGAAG